GCGCACCAGAAACCCUUUGUGAACUUAUACCUUACUGUUGCCUCGGCGCUAGCUGGUCCUUCGGGGCCCCUCCUUCUGGAGGAGCAGGCACGCCGGCGGCCAACCCAACUCUUGUUUUUACACUGAAACUCUGAGUACAAAACAUAAAUGAAUCAAAACUUUCAACAACGGAUCUCUUGGUUCUGGCAUCGAUGAAGAACGCAGCGAAAUGCGAUAAGUAAUGUGAAUUGCAGAAUUCAGUGAAUCAUCGAAUCUUUGAACGCACAUUGCGCCCUCUGGUAUUCCGGAGGGCAUGCCUGUUCGAGCGUCAUUUCAACCCUCAAGCCUGGCUUGGUGAUGGGGCACUGCCUGUAAAAGGGCAGGCCCUGAAAUUCAGUGGCGAGCUCGCCAGGACCCCGAGCGCAGUAGUUAAACCCUCGCUUUGGAAGGCCCUGGCGGUGCCCUGCCGUUAAACCCCCAACUUUUGAAAAUUUGACCUCGGAUCAGGUAGGAAUACCCGCUGAACUUAAGCAUAUCAAUAAGGCGGAGGAA
This 531-nucleotide ribosomal RNA is filed under the name Phomopsis sp. A5. RNAcentral describes it as "eukaryotic LSU rRNA". The stretch from base 157 to 310 matches the Rfam family "5.8S ribosomal RNA". Lineage: Eukaryota; Fungi; Ascomycota; Sordariomycetes; Diaporthales; Diaporthaceae. The record is from RNAcentral.